GUGAAUGGUGAUUGUUCAUGAAAUAUGAUUAAUGAUUGUUCAUGGCUUAUGAUUGGUGAUUGUUCAUGAUGUAUAUGAUCAGUGAUUGUUCAUGAUGUAUAUGAUUGGUGAUUGUGUAUGAAUAACUGUGAAUUAAUUAUUAUUCAUGAUACAUGUAAUUGGUGAUUUUUCAUGAAAUGUGAUUAGUGAUUAUUCAUGAUACAAGUAAUUGGUGAUUGUUCAUGAAAUGUGAUUAAUGAUUAUUCAUGAUAAAUGUGAUUGGUGAUUGUGAAUGAAUAAUUGUAAAUUGAUAAUUGUUCAUAUGAUUGAUGAAUAUUGAUGUGAGAUAUCGGGGUGUGAUGUAAGUAUUAAUGUGUAAUUAUUAUUGAUCAAGUGCAUGAUGUUUAAAUUGAAAUAUUCAUGUUAACUGUUAUUUGGAUUAUGAUAAUGUAAUACUUACCCCCAGUGGAUCUGUUAUGGACCGCCUGCCUAUCUGUAUGGAUGGGUAGACGUUGUGCAGG
RNAcentral lists this long non-coding RNA (500 nucleotides) under Medicago truncatula (barrel medic). Its description in RNAcentral is "long non-coding RNA (MTRU_LNC008015)". Lineage: Eukaryota; Viridiplantae; Streptophyta; Magnoliopsida; Fabales; Fabaceae. The record is from RNAcentral.